GUGCUAGCUUUGGCAGCACAUAUACUAAAAUUGGAACAAUACAGAGAAGUUUAGCAUGGCCCUGCGCAAGGAUGACAUGCAAAUUCGCGAAGAAUACAGUAUUUAC
RNAcentral lists this small nuclear RNA (106 nucleotides) under Prolemur simus (greater bamboo lemur). Lineage: Eukaryota; Metazoa; Chordata; Mammalia; Primates; Lemuridae. The record is from RNAcentral.